GGUCCGAUGCCACGUCGCCGGUAGUGAAUAUGGCAAUAACCAGCGAUGCUAUGAUUGGACCAAUAACAACUUUCGUAUGCUGAUAGGAAUCUGUGGAUCUGAUUAUUUACCGUUCAUCCACGGAGCCGUUUUCUGCGAUUACAUUU
Small nucleolar RNA from Macadamia integrifolia, 146 nucleotides. RefSeq annotates it as small nucleolar RNA snoR2/U65. NCBI's taxonomy places the organism in Eukaryota, Viridiplantae, Streptophyta, Magnoliopsida, Proteales, Proteaceae. The record is from RefSeq and is a predicted model, not a curated record. The transcript has a single exon.